CCACCUCCCAGCUGAGUGCACACAACACAGCGGCCACGUGAAUCAGUUUCUUAAAGAGGAAGGCUCCUGGCUGUCUUGGGCAAGUAGGACUUUAGUAGCUGUUAGCGUUGCUGCGGCUGCUUAGGUGAGGGCCAAGGCCUAGAGAUUAGGAUGGAUGAGCACGAAGGAACUUUGGAGAAGGGAAAUCUUUUACUGGUGUCAGAGGUAAAAGAAAUUGAAGUUACUGUAGUGACUAAAAAGCAAAACAAACAGCUGAUGCAGUUUAUCUGAGGUCAUCUUUUUGACCGAAGUUGAGAAAACUUCCUGGCUGGCUGUUUUGCCUUUGUCACGGCCUAAUUUAUUUGUGACUCUGCCUUUAUUUGAGACUUUGCCUUUGUCACGUGCUUAAUUUAUUUGAGACUCCGAACCCGGAUAAUUGCGGGUCAGGCUCGUCCCUCUGCAAAAUUAUAAAACAAACAGGUCACCCACACUCACGAUGUGUCCUGGGAAAGAGAGCGACCCUGGCUUCUGAGGACCAGGUGAUCUUGUAGCCGGUCACGUAGCUCUAAACCUUAUGAAUUCGUUGCCAGCUUCAAUAACCAACAUUCCCAAAAGGUUCUCGGUGCCCACACUGCAUUUUACAUCCAGAGUAGAAGCUAUCCCACAUUUUUUUUGCUUCCCAAAUAAAAAUUUGCUCAGCUGCAUAGUUCGGUGUUUGGUACAUAGUAGAUGUUCAAUAAAUGUUUGUUGAAUUUAA
Long non-coding RNA from Phascolarctos cinereus (koala), 736 nucleotides. RefSeq lists it as uncharacterized. The record is from RefSeq and is a predicted model, not a curated record. Lineage: Eukaryota; Metazoa; Chordata; Mammalia; Diprotodontia; Phascolarctidae.